Molecule: non-coding RNA, 145 nt
Organism: Gossypium raimondii (Peruvian cotton)
Lineage: Eukaryota; Viridiplantae; Streptophyta; Magnoliopsida; Malvales; Malvaceae
Source: Rfam
UUUUAAAAAAUUUAUCCAUUUUUACUGUUAAAAAUUAGUAUAAAUGAUAGGAUAACCAAAUAAUUACACGUUGCAAGCAACAUGUAUCACAUUUCGAAGUACAAUGAUCAACUUUUAACAAUAAAAAUGAAUAAAAUUUUUAAAG